GGGGGGUAUCAAUAAGUGAUCACCCCCCCCCUGAGAGGGGGGGGUAUUCACUACGGGUAACCCCCCCUCCCCUGACGGGGGGGAUUCGUGUAAUGAUUAUAACCCACCGUCUUUUUGAGGGGGGAUAACGCGUGAGAAUCUGGCUUCAGGUCUGGGACAACAGUUGGAAACGACUGCUAAUACCGGAUGUGCCGAAAGGUGAAAGGCUUGCUGCCUGAAGAUGAGCUCGCGUCUGAUUAGCUAGUAGGUGUGGUAAAAGCGCACCUAGGCGACGAUCAGUAGCUGGUCUGAGAGGAUGAUCAGCCACACUGGGACUGAGACACGGCCCAGACUCCUACGGGAGGCAGCAGUGGGGAAUUUUCCGCAAUGGGCGAAAGCCUGACGGAGCAAUACCGCGUGAGGGAGGAAGGCUCUUGGGUUGUAAACCUCUUUUCUCAAGGAAUAAGUACUGAAGGUACUUGAGGAAUCAGCAUCGGCUAACUCCGUGCCAGCAGCCGCGGUAAUACGGAGGAUGCAAGCGUUAUCCGGAAUGAUUGGGCGUAAAGCGUCCGCAGGUGGCUGUAAGUCUGCUGUUAAAGAGUGAGGCUAACCUCAUAAAAGCAGUGGAAACUACAAGCUAGAGUGCGUUCGGGGCAGAGGAAUUCCUGGUGUAGCGGUGAAAUGCGUAGAGAUCAGGAAGAACACCGG
This 687-nucleotide ribosomal RNA is filed under the name Nostoc sp. LCRSM-A. RNAcentral describes it as "bacterial SSU rRNA". It matches the Rfam family "Bacterial small subunit ribosomal RNA", at positions 66 to 712 of the family's 1533-position model. The record is from RNAcentral. Lineage: Bacteria; Bacillati; Cyanobacteriota; Cyanophyceae; Nostocales; Nostocaceae.